This 522-nucleotide ribosomal RNA is filed under the name uncultured bacterium. Its description in RNAcentral is "bacterial SSU rRNA". It matches the Rfam family "Bacterial small subunit ribosomal RNA", at positions 96 to 616 of the family's 1533-position model. The record is from RNAcentral.
UGGCGAAAGGGUGCGUAACAACGUGGGAAUUUACCGAGAAGUGGGGAAUAGCUCGACGAAAGUCGAAUUAAUACCGCAUAUGAUCGCAAGAUCAAAGCCGGGGACCGCAAGGCUGGCGCUUUUUGAGAAGCCCGCGCCAUCAGCAAGUUGGCGGGGUAAAAGCCCACCAAGGCUAUGACGGGUAGCUGGUCUGAGAGGACGACCAGCCACACUGAACUGAGACACGGUCCAGACACCUACGGGUGGCAGCAGUCGAGAAUUUUUCACAAUGGACGAAAGUCUGACGGAGCGACGCCGCGUGGAGGAUGAAGGUUCUUGGAUUGUAAACUCCUGUCACUGCAGAGCAAGGUUACCACAUGUGAAUAGCGCGUGUAGUUGAUGGUAUGCGGAGAGGAAGGGACGGUAAUUCUGUGCCAGCAGCCGCGGUGAGACAGAGGUCCCGAGCGUUGUCCGGAUUCAUUGGGCGUACACGGGUGUGUAGGAGGUCGGGAAAGUCCGUGUGUGAAUCUCAGAGCUUAUUCU